AAUGGGGGAAACCCUGAUGCAGCCAUGCCGCGUGUGUGAAGAAGGCCUUCGGGUUGUAAAGCACUUUCAGUCAGGAGGAAGGGUGUUGAGUUAAUACCUCAAUACAUUGACGUUACUGACAGAAGAAGCACCGGCUAACUCCGUGCCAGCAGCCGCGGUAAUACGGAGGGUGCGAGCGUUAAUCGGAAUUACUGGGCGUAAAGCGUGCGCAGGCGGUUUGUUAAGCGAGAUGUGAAAGCCCCGGGCUCAACCUGGGAUGGUCAUUUCGAACUGGCAAGCUAGAGUCUCGUAGAGGGGGGUAGAAUUCCAGGUGUAGCGGUGAAAUGCGUAGAGAUCUGGAGGAAUACCGGUGGCGAAGGCGGCCCCCUGGACGAAGACUGACGCUCAGGCACGAAAGCGUGGGGAGCAAA
RNAcentral lists this ribosomal RNA (410 nucleotides) under uncultured bacterium. RNAcentral describes it as "bacterial SSU rRNA". It matches the Rfam family "Bacterial small subunit ribosomal RNA", at positions 370 to 772 of the family's 1533-position model. The record is from RNAcentral.